RNAcentral lists this transfer RNA (77 nucleotides) under Acinetobacter towneri. RNAcentral's name for it is "tRNA-Arg". It matches the Rfam family "tRNA". Rfam says of the family: Transfer RNA (tRNA) molecules are approximately 80 nucleotides in length. Their secondary structure includes four short double-helical elements and three loops (D, anti-codon, and T loops). Further hydrogen bonds mediate the characteristic L-shaped molecular structure. tRNAs have two regions of fundamental functional importance: the anti-codon, which is responsible for specific mRNA codon recognition, and the 3' end, to which the tRNAs corresponding amino acid is attached (by aminoacyl-tRNA synthetases). tRNAs cope with the degeneracy of the genetic code in two manners: having more than one tRNA (with a specific anti-codon) for a particular amino acid; and 'wobble' base-pairing, i.e. permitting non-standard base-pairing at the 3rd anti-codon position. Lineage: Bacteria; Pseudomonadati; Pseudomonadota; Gammaproteobacteria; Moraxellales; Moraxellaceae. The record is from RNAcentral.
GCGCCACUAGCUCAGUUGGAUAGAGCAUCUGCCUUCUAAGCAGAUGGUCACUGGUUCAAGUCCAGUGUGGCGCACCA